Molecule: long non-coding RNA, 1864 nt
Organism: Amaranthus tricolor (Joseph's coat)
Lineage: Eukaryota; Viridiplantae; Streptophyta; Magnoliopsida; Caryophyllales; Amaranthaceae
Exons: 2
Source: RefSeq, a predicted model, not a curated record
UUCAUUAGCAUAUUGAUAAGUUAAAUGUGUUAGUUUAAUAGAGAUUUUAGUGAUUGAUAACAAUCACCUGAGUUCCUCAGUUUCCUCCUUCGCUCCUCACAAUUCUGUUCUAAACCAAGUCCUAAAACCUUCAUCCACUGUGCCGUCCCACGCCAGCCUCCAGACGGCAACCACCAAAACUGCUGCAGAUGCCAGCCUCAUCAGGCAGGCACCACCCACCACCUUCAAAAUAUACUUAUUUUUUUCUUCUUAUUUCUUUCCCUAAAAGUUUUGAUUUCAAUUGUUAAUUUGUUAUAGAUUUUUUAUUUCUUUGAAUGUUAACUGUUAAACAUUAUUUGUUGACUUUGUUCAUUCAUGAUUGAUGAUUAUACAAUACCUCAAAACCAUAUUUGUUAAUCAAUUUACGAUUUUUGGUUUACUUGGUGGUAAAUUUCCAAAUUUAGGGCUUCAUAUUUAAUUUCUUAGAAUUUAUUAGACUUUUAGUUGACUAGUAAUUGAAUUCUAUAAUUGAUUAAGGUAAUUUGUUUGAAUUUCUUGAAAUUUUUAGAUAAUUGAUUUAGGGUUUUUGGUUAUACAUUUUCAAAUUCUGGAUUAGUAGUGAGGGGUUUUUGCCUAUCUGGGAUGAGGGUAAUAGCAAAGUGGUCAUAGGAAGGCAGUAAAUACUUGGGCAUCACAGAAUAGGGUGUGGCAUUGGCUUGUUCAGUUUUAUUUUUUUUUAAAUUCUUUUUGUUUGAUUCUGGCAAGUAGCUUACAUAAUCAAAGAAUAGAAGUAAAGAGCAACAUUUUUUGAAUAACCUUACUUCUCUUAUAGCCAAACCAGAGCAAAAUAUUUCAGAUGUUAUGGAUGUUUCCGGAAUCCACUGAUUCUCAAGAACUAAUGCCCAUUUAUGGAUUACCACUGGUUUCAGUUAACACUUUGAUUUAUAUGGCUAUAUGGGUAGUGUUAAUUAUUAAAUACAAGAAUUCCUUGUCUAGUUGUUUGAAGGCUAUGUUAAGUAAUGUUCAGUUGGUUGAUUGAAUGACUUCACUUUGUGCUGCUCAUUCAUAUGUUGGCAUGUAGAAUGCAAACAAGGGACUUUUACUGAAAAUUUUGAGUCAGGGACUUAAUUGCAUGUAUAUUGAGAUGAACAUGGUGGCUCAUCGUCUAACGUUUAUGUUGGAAUCAAUAUUUGUGUUGGGUAAUUGUUUAAUUGGCUAAUGCACUAUAAUAUUUCAAUUGGCUAAUUGAAACCAAUAUUUUAAUUGAAUAUGUGUUUGUGUUAGAAUUAAUAUUUUGAAAGUGAUUUGUUUCAAAAUUUUUCAUAUGAUACAAUUAUGCGUUGUUUUCAAAAUAUUAGAGCUAGGCAUGGACAAUACCAUAAAUAAAACACGGUUAAAUGUAAUUUUAUUUUUAUUUAAAAUAUUGACGGUAUUUAAUUUUUUUCUGGAUCCAUCACUGAUUGCAUUUGCUCUUUUAUUAAGUGUUAAUGAAGAAAUAAUAAUAUUUAUUUUUACUAUUUAAUGCUAAUGCACAUCUUUUUGUUUCUCUAGUGCACGUUUGUGUGUGUUUAGUCUCUGUAGCUAAUGAGAGAAAGCUUAUUGUUUCAUUUCAAUGCAACUAUGGAACUUAUCACCUCAGAUUGUAAAUGAAGUUGCCAUCUUCGUGAAUGAUGGAAAUACACCUUUGGAUCUAAGCUUAGCGUAUGGAAAAGACUUUGAAUCGUAUGAUCUAACAAAGUUGUUGAAGAUUGUAACUGCCAACAGAGAUCGAUAAGUGUUGGAGAUGAACCUAAUUUUGUAAUAUCUUCCAUGUUCAUUCUCUAGAAGUUGAAUAAUUUAGGAUUAUAUUCCCUAUUUCUGUAUAAAAACAUAAUAAUGUUUUCUU